Molecule: small RNA, 107 nt
Filed under: Marmota monax (woodchuck)
Lineage: Eukaryota; Metazoa; Chordata; Mammalia; Rodentia; Sciuridae
Source: RNAcentral
GCCGGGUGCGGUGGUGCACGCCUGUAGUCCCAGCAACUCGGGAGGUGGAGGCAGGAGGGUCGCAAGUUCAAAGCCAGCCUCAGCAACUUAGCAAGUCCCUGUCUCAG